UUUCCCUACGGGGGGCAGCAGUGAGGAAUAUUGGUCAAUGGGCGCGAGCCUGAACCAGCCAAGUCGCGUGAGGGAAGACGGUCCUAUGGAUUGUAAACCUCUUUUGUCGGGGAGCAAAAGACGCCACGCGUGGCGUUCCGAGAGUACCCGAAGAAAAAGCAUCGGCUAACUCCGUGCCAGCAGCCGCGGUAAUACGGAGGAUGCGAGCGUUAUCCGGAUUUAUUGGGUUUAAAGGGUGCGCAGGCGGAAGAUCAAGUCAGCGGUAAAAGCCCGGGGCUCAACCCCGGCGAGCCGUUGAAACUGGC
Molecule: ribosomal RNA, 305 nt
Filed under: uncultured bacterium
Lineage: Bacteria
Description: bacterial SSU rRNA
Rfam family: Bacterial small subunit ribosomal RNA
Source: RNAcentral